This 1600-nucleotide long non-coding RNA is filed under the name Drosophila guanche. The record is from RNAcentral. Lineage: Eukaryota; Metazoa; Arthropoda; Insecta; Diptera; Drosophilidae.
GAGAAACUCCCUGUAAGCUCACUCCACCCUCUAGUGGGUAUCGCCACUCCGUUCACUCCAUUUUCGAAUUCACUUACUUUUUUGUUGUUGCUGUUCCUCGGCUUUCUUCUGUUUGCACGACGCAGUUUGCUUUGUUGCUUAUGAUUUAUGUGCCAAACACACACACACAGAGUUCCGUUCCGUUCCACACACACACCGUAAAUAGUAACUGCAGUCCGCCCAGUCCCAGUCGCAGUCCCAACCGUUCCUCGGCCCAAGUAUUACACGCAAAUUGCACGCAACACGCGAAUCGCGAAUCGCGAAUGGAAAUGACGUCGCGGCAGCCGCCACUCGUGCGUGGAGCGGGGCCAGGGCCUGCCUGUGCGAUAUUUCUGUCACAGGGCACCCAUGUCCGGAGUCCGGAGUCCUGCGUCCGGAGACUCUGCGUCAUCCUUGGCGCGGGACAUGCGUGUAAGUCGCUUAUCGCCAGACUGUGCCUGCAAGUCCUCUUGUGGCUGUCAGGAGCAGGGCACACUUUAAAUAUCCUUAUGCAUACCAUAAAUACAGACUUAAAUGCUAAUCCCUGAAUGACGACCAAAAUGGCUGUUGAGUGGCCAAAAGUGCGUCCUGGAUAUGAAUCAGUCGGCUGGCUAAAGUUAUUUGCAGCUUAAAGUCCUGCAGGAGCCUCAGCUGUUUGUACAUUUUAAUAUUUGCUCCUUUUUUCUGCCGGCCGGCCAUUGUUUUGACAACUUAAUGGCGACAAAAAACAUUUAAUAUAUGGCCCAGAGCGUGCUCGCAACUCACUUUUUAAUCACUUUUCAUGGGCUUUUAAUUACACACACCCGCCUGAAAUAUUAUGAAAAACCAAACGCAUAAAAUGCUUAACAAGCUUUUUCCAGGCACAAGGGACACCGCACACACAGGAACGAAAGAAUAAAAUAAAAAUAUACUCCCAGCCCACCCACUCAUUUCCGUUAUAAUAAUGUGUGAAAGGAUAUUAAUUAUGAAACAAGCGAAUGGCAGGAAGCUCGGGCAAUAAAAACAGCAAGCGACAGCCUGACCAGAAGCCCAGCACACAUCCCCAGACAUGCCCCCACAGCAGCCAGAGAAAAAACAAACAAAAAUGGAGCCCUCUGGUGACGAAGCUACAGCUACCCUGUAACACUCGUAGAGCUAACCAAAUUGUCCACCGAUGGAGGGAAUUUAUCUGCCAAUAAACGUUAAAAUUACUUUAAUUCCAAGUUCAUUUUUCAACGCAACAAAAAUCUCUCAAACAUUUCCCACUAGGCUUUGGUUUUUGGUAGAACUUUGGUUGGACUCUGCUGGGGCAGCCGCAGGAACCAUCCAGGAUGUUGGCUUAGGCGAGGAAACGGGAGCAACAUGUGCAACAUGUCCAACGGAAGUGUCGGCCAUAUACAACACACACACACACACACACAUGGACCACUACUAAGACAACCCACAUAGGCCCACGUCGCACACACACAAAUUACGAGACCGGGGCCCAAGUAGAUUUUUAUGUAAUGUCGGUCGGUUAUUGCUUCCAUUUCAUACAUUUAUUUCAUUUCAUUUCAUUUCAUUUCAUUUACCCCAAGCCAAAGCCUCCUUCCCGCCCACCCAG